GCCAGGCAUGGUUGUGCAGGUCUGUAAUCCCAGCACCUUUGGAGGCUGAGGUAGGAGGGUCACAAGUUCAAAGCAAGGUGCAAAGCAACUCAGUGAGACCCUAUCUCUA
RNAcentral lists this small RNA (109 nucleotides) under Marmota monax (woodchuck). Lineage: Eukaryota; Metazoa; Chordata; Mammalia; Rodentia; Sciuridae. The record is from RNAcentral.